Molecule: ribosomal RNA, 795 nt
Rfam family: 5.8S ribosomal RNA (bases 222-376)
AAAAAACUUUCCACGUGAACCGUUUCAACCCAAUAGUUGGGGGUCUUAUUUGGCGGCGGCUGCUGGCUUAAUUGUUGGCGGCUGCUGCUGAGUGAGCCCUAUCAAAAAAAAGGCGAACGUUUGGGCUUCGGCCUGAUUUAGUAGUCUUUUUUUCUUUUAAACCCAUUCCUUAAUACUGAAUAUACUGUGGGGACGAAAGUCUCUGCUUUUAACUAGAUAGCAACUUUCAGCAGUGGAUGUCUAGGCUCGCACAUCGAUGAAGAACGCUGCGAACUGCGAUACGUAAUGCGAAUUGCAGGAUUCAGUGAGUCAUCGAAAUUUUGAACGCAUAUUGCACUUCCGGGUUAGUCCUGGAAGUAUGCCUGUAUCAGUGUCCGUACAUUAAACUUGACUUUCUUCCUUCCGUGUAGUCGGUGGAGGAGAUGUCAGAUGUGAAGUGUCUUGCGAUUGGUCUUCGGACCGGCUGCGAGUCCUUUUAAAUGUACUAAACUGAACUUCUCUUUGCUCGAAAAGUGGUGGCGUUGCUGGUUGUGAAGGCUGCUAUUGUGGCAAAUUGGCGACUGGUUUGUCUGCUGCGGCGUUAAUGGAAGAGUGUUCGAUUCGUGGUAUGGUUGGCUUCGGCUGAACAAUGCACUUAUUGGACGUUUUUCCUGCUGUGGCGUGAUGGACUGGUGAACCAUAGCUCGGUGGCUUGGCUUUUGAAUUGGCUUUGCUGUUGCGAAGUAGGGUGGCAGCUUCGGUUGUCGAGGGUCGAUCCAUUUGGGAACUUAAUGUGUACUUCGGUAUGCAUCUCAA